Molecule: long non-coding RNA, 23921 nt
Filed under: Homo sapiens (human)
Lineage: Eukaryota; Metazoa; Chordata; Mammalia; Primates; Hominidae
Description: non-protein coding lnc-TMTC3-18:3
Source: RNAcentral
GUUCUACCCUAUAGCUAUGUUUGUGCCACUACCACCUCCUGCCUCAAAGAAACUCUUGCCAGGGUGAUUUACCAAGGAUAAAGAUGUCUAAUUUAAGUUGGACCAACCCAAUUCUCUUUCUUGGAAAUUUGAAACUAGAAGAGAGCCACAUGGAGAAUGAAGGUAAUUGAAGCUAGGAUAGCUAAUAUUGAUACUUCAGAGAACAUCCAAGAGCUUCUUUCUGAUGCCAAAGACCCAGAACAGCCUUUGUCCCUAGCCUUUGUCAAAGUAGAAUGAUGGCUCCAAGCCUUUCACUUCUUAGUAAUGUGUUGUCUUAGUAAUCUAAUCUUAGUAAGUGUUAUCUUAGUAAUCUAAUCAAUGUAACUUUCUUACAUUAGAGUAAUUUUUGGUUGUUUAACAGGUAGGCCAGACCUACUAUUAUUUAUCCCCUACGUCCGUAUCAAAUAGGCUUCUGCUUGAAGAUCUUGGCUGACACAAGACUCUAAUUUAGUUUUCCCACACAGAUAAGGUAAUAAAAUAAAGACAAAUGAAUUGAUUUUAUUGUUAAAUGAGUCAUGAAUUUUGAUGAGCUUGGAUCUUGACAACAAGUAUAGAAUUUAAGAUGUGGAAAAAUAUUCUUGGAAGGCAAGGUCAUCAGAUCCGGAGUCCAUUCUAAAUCCCAGUGGAACUCUGUGACUGCUUAAUGCAUAAGACACAGUUGGGUUCAGAUCUUUAUAAUGUUCCACACUGACUUCCUGACUGUCUCAAGUAGCUAUUUCACGGUCUCUUAAGAGGUAACCUGUAUCACCAAUUUUUUAUUAAACCUGUGGAUUUUGCAUCAGAAAAGUUAUUCUGAUUAAUUUGGGGCCAUUUAGAAGAGCAAAACAGUAUUUUAGUAAAAUGUUACCUUCAACAAGUAUGUUAUUGUAAUUUAGUCAUUGGGAAGAUUAAUUCGUCUUCUUUAGAAAAUAUUGCAGCCUAACACAAUGAUUAAAAGCAUGAGAUUUAGUAAUUUCAAACCUUAACUCUCCCAGAGUUUGGCUGCUCCUUCAUUUUAGAGGGAUUAGUUCAGGUCAUCCUGGCAGGUUCCCAUAUCAGUGUUGUGCUCUUAGGUUCAUAGUUUUGUUUUAUGGAUAAAUAUUUACUUAUGUCUGUUUGGCUAACUUUGCUUUGUGGCUGAGCAGUUGUUUCUUACUAGUUGUGAAACUAGAUUGGGUUAAAUUAAAAUGACAUGGCCAUUUCAUUUCUCCUUCCACUUUUGCCAUUAUGUGGGAGGGGAAACAACUCCAGGCAUUUAUUCAACAAAUAUUUAUUCAGCCUUUACUAUGUACCAGAAACUGGGGAUAAAGUUGUUAACAAAAACAUUAUGGUUCCUGACCUCACCGAGCUGAUGGUCUAAGAAAUCCAAAAUGGUGACCCACAUUACUCCUGAAACUCAUUCAAAUUGCAAAAGAUCCUAUCUCCAAGUAAAGAAUUUUUAGGAGUAUUCCUUACUUUCUUCCCAAACAGCAUCUUACUCUUAAUUAGGGAAGCUAUAUGCCAAAGCUGAGCCCCUUCCUUUUAUUUUGAGGAAGUAUUAUUGUAAUUGGUAAAUAUGUUUCAGAUUCUUUAGUAAGGGAUUUUGGUGAUUUACUAAUUUACUUAUGAAUGAAGAUUCCUUUAUUAUUUUCUGUUGCUCUUAUUAUUUUGUUUAGUGUGCUAUGUAAACAUGCAGUCAUAUCAUAAUCUUUCCUAGAAGUCUAAUUUGAUUCAAGUUUGCACAUUUAAAAAGCCAAUGACAAACUCUACCCCCUAAUCUUUGUCAUCUAUAUAGGUCUUAUUUCAACUGUUGUUCAGGAAUGAUCCAAACAAAUUCAGAAGCAGAUUUAAAUGUUAUAGGAAAACACCAGUGUCUAGAUCCCAGAUCGCCAACUCCCAAGCCACAGACUGGUACCAGUCCAUGGCCUGGUAGGAACUGGGCCACACAGCAGGAGGUGAGUGACAGGUAAGAUAGCAAAGCUUAAGCUGUAUUUACAGCCCUUCUCAAUUGCUCACAUUAUUUCCCAAGCUCCGCCUUCUGUCAGAUCAGUGGCAGCAUUAGAUUCCCAUAGGAGCACAAAACCUAUUGUGAACUGUGCAUGCGAGGGGUCUAGGUUGCAUGCCCUUUAUGCACGUCUAAUACCUGAUGAUCUGUCACCGUCUUUCAUCACCUCCAGAUGGGACCAUUUAGUUGGAGGAAAACAAGCUUAGGGCACCCACUGAUUCUAUAUGAUGGGGAGUUGUGUAAUUAUUAGAUGGUGUAAUUAUUAGAUGGUAAGUAGUAUUAUACAUUACAAUGUAAUACUAAUAGAAAUAGAUAAAGUGCAAAAUUAAUGUAAUGCACUUGAAUCAUCCCAAAUAAUUCUCUCCCCAACACCCCCACCAGUCUGUGAAAAAAUUGUCUUCCAUGAGACUGGUCCCUGGUGCCAAAAAGGUUAAGGACUGCUGCUCUAGAUCAUUUCUUUUACGUACCAAGUGUUCCAAGAAUACUAUAACAAAAAACAUCAAAAGUUCAGUAGAAAAUGGGCAAAGGGCAUAAGCAAACUGGUCAGAGUAAAAAAAAAUAUAUAUGAAGGGUCCUUAGUUGCAUGAAAAGAUACUCAUCUUGAAAGUCCAAAAGUUUGACCUGCCCUUUGUGUGCCAGUCUUCAGAGGAAAAGACAUUUCCUUACAAUGCUUGUCAGACUGUCAAACGAUAUUAAAUACAACCUCUGUGGAAGGCAAUCUGACAAUAACUCUCAAAAUAAAACAUGAAUUCCAUUUUUAGGAAUUCAUCCUACAGGUAGAUCUACACAUGUACAUGAUGUUUGUAAUUAUAAGUUUUUAUACUUCAGAAUCUUGUGUCCAUCAAUAAACAAUUGGUUUUUACAUAAGGCAAUAUUAUGCAGUUUUUAAAAAGAACAAAGAGAUCUCCAUGUACUUAUGUGGAAAUAAUCAAGAUAUAGUAUUAACUGAAAAAAGAGCAAGUCUCAUAAGAUUGCAUACAAAAGUAGGUCACGUUUUGUGUAUGAAAAGAGGAACAAAUUUUCAAUGACAUAUGCUUAUUGUUGCCUAGGAAACAGUGGAUGGAUAAAUAAUAAACUAAUAAAAUACAUUAUUUACAGGGAGAAGGAGAACUGUUGGAUGGGGGCAAAAGUAAAGCUUAUUAUAUAGUUUUUAUUUUUGAACCAUGUGAAUGCAUUAUCCAUUCAAAAGUAAAAUAAGCCAGUUUGAUGGCUCAUGCUCGUAACUCCCAACAUGUUGAGAGUUAGAGGCCAGGAGUUUGAGUUCAGCCUGGGAAACAUAGAGAAACCUUGUCUCUACUAAAAACAAACAAAAAAUUAGCUGGGCAUGGUGGUAUGUGACUGUAGUCCUAGCUAUUUGGGAGACAGGUAGGAAGAUGCUUUAAGCCCAGGAGGUUGAGGCUGCAGCAAGUCAUAAUCACACCACUGCACUCCAGCCUGAGCAACAGAGCAAGACCCUGUCUCAAAAAAUAAAAAAUAAAAUAAAAAUAAAACAUAAAACCCAUAGCAACAAACUCCCAGCCCCUGGCUGUCAAAAUGUCUGUAGGGUCAGACAUUUCUCUGGGCCACUCAGAAACUUAUUACUUUAGCUCUAAAUUUUCUCUUGAUUUCUGACACCUCAGUUUCCUCCCUUUUUUUCUUGUGAAUUCAGCUAUGUAUUUAAAACUUAAAAAAAUUAUCUAAUAUUAUUAUGAAUUUUCAGUAGGAGAGGUGUUCCGGUUGGUUUUGUUUUUGAAAUUGCUGGAGCCCCAGUAUAUUCAUAGAAUUAAGCAGCCAAAAUGAUUUCUCAAAGUUAAAGAGUGGAAAGAUUUUAACUCAGCAAACUCACUGUAAUGGUUAAUACUGAGUGUCAACUUGACUGGAUUGAGGGAUGCCAAGUAUUGAUCCUGGGUGUGUCUGUGAUGGUAUUGCCAAAGGAGAUUAACAUUCGAGUCAGUGGGCUGGGAAAGGCAGACCUGCCCUUAAUCUGGGUGGCCACAAUCUAAUCAGCUGCCAGCACAGCCAGAAUAAAAGCAGGUGGAAGAACAAGAAAAGACUAGGUUGACUUAGCCUCCCAGCCUACAUCUUUUUCCUGUGCUGGAUGCUUUCUGCCUUCAAACAUCGGACUCCAAGUUCUUCAGCUUUGGAACUCUGGCUGGCUACCUGGCUCUUCAGCUUGCAGAUGGCCUAUUGUGGGACUUUGUGAUCAUGUGAGUUAAUACUCCUUAAUAAACUCACAUAUAUAAAUAUAUAUAUUCUAUUAGUUCUGUCUCUCUAGAGAAACCUGACUAAUACACUCACAUAAGAGACAAGCUUUAUAAGGCUCACUUAUGUGGUGUGUACUUAAAUGGCCCUUUGUGAUCAUCCCUUCUUGAAGGAGAUAUACCUAAUGUAAAUGACGAGUUAAUGGGUGCAGCACACCAACAUGGCACAUGUAUACAUACGUAACAAACCCGCACAUUGUGCACAUGUACCCCAGAACUUAAAGUAUAAUAAAAAAAUUUUUUUAAAGUCAAUAUUGGCUUGUAUAUAUCAUGAAAUUUCUAAGCUAUGAUGUUAUGACUCUUUGCUCUUGUUAACAGAGAAGUAAGAGUCCUGAUCUGUGUAUUUAGUUUCAUAUAUGAGUAUAUUUAACACUACAUCAGAGAUCACCUGUUCUCUUUAGCAUAUUUUAGAUUUAAAAAUGUUUUAGUCUCUGAGUAUUACUAAAUAGUUUUGUCUUAAAUUAUAUAAAGUGAUUGAGCCAGACUAAUAAACUCUUUCAUUCUUCUGAAUGGGCAGAAACAUUAGGCCUUAUAAAAAAUAAGCCUUUGUUUUUUUAGAUAUUAAUAAAUACAUUGUGAGAUAAACAUCCAUGAGGAGGAUGGAGAGUACAGUUGUAAAAGGCUUUGAGCCCUGUAUUAGUCUGUUCUCACAUUGCUAUAAAUAAAUACCUGGGACUGGGUAAUUUAUAAAGAAAAGAGGUUUAAUUGGCUCAUGGUUCGACAGGCUGUACAGGAAGCAUGGUGAGGAGGCCUCAGGAAACUUACAAUCAUGGUCAAAAGCAAAGGGGAAGCACGCAUGUCUUACAUGGACAGAGCAGGAGGAAGAGAGAGCAUGGGGAAGUGCUACACACUUUUAAACAAUCAGAUUGCGUGAGAACUCGCUCACUAUCACAAGAACAGCAAGGGGGAAAUCUGCUCCCAUGAUCCAAUCACCUCCCAGCAGGUCCUCCUCCAACAUUGGAGAUUACAAUCCGACAUGAGAUUGGGGGAGGACACAGAUGCAAACCAUAUCAAGCCCCAUCAGAAAUUGAGAUAGUUGUGGAAACAACACUGCUAAUUCAGCUGCUACACUUACCCCUAUACAAUCCCUUAUAAUUCAUUCCAUGGAAUAAACAACUUAAAAUGAAGAAUCUAAAACAAUUAAGUUGUAGCAGUUGAAUGGUGUCUCCCAGAUAUAUAUAUAUAUAUAUGGCCUAAACUCCAAUUCCUGUGAAUGUGAACUUAUUUAGUCACAGGGUUUUGUAUCAUGGGAUUACAUCAAGCUAAAACAUGGUCAUAUUAGGUUAGUAUGGGCCUUAAUUUAAUCUGACUGUUGUUCCAAUAAGAAGAAAAGAGACACAGUGACAGACAUGGGGGAGAAGGCCAUGUGAAGACAGAGGCAGAGAUUGUAAUAAUGCAACUGCAAGCCAAGGAAUGCUAAGGAUUACCAGUAAUCACCAGAGGCUUGGAAGAGGCAAGAAAAGACUCUCACCUAGAGCCUUCAGAGAGAGCAUGGUCUUGCCAAUACCUGAAUUAUGGACUCUCAAUUUCCAGAACUGGGGGUGGGAAUAAAUUUCUGUUGUAAGCCAUUUGGUGUGUGCUAAUUUGUUAUGGCAGCCCUAGGAAACUAAGGCACAAGUCAAGGUCUAAAAGUGUAAUUGACACAAUCUGCAUUUUCAAUCAUAGCCAUCUCUUGAAGGAUGUCUAAAACUUGAGAAGAUCAUUCAUGAAUUCAAAAUUGGGAGAAGGUAGCAUGGAAAAUUGGUGCCACUAUUUCUGUCUUGGAUCACUUCAACCAUAAAAAGACUUUUUUUCCCCUCUCUUUAAGGGUUUUGGUAUUAGGAGUGCUUACUUUUGUCAACCUCUUUGGUCAGUAGGAUGGAAAAUAUAUACUAAACUUUUAAUAAAAAUAAUAUAAAAUUAACAAUGUCAAACAAUAAAGAUGUUUAUGCAUCAAAAUCAUCCUUUCCUCCUUUCACCUUUAAGAUAUUCUCCAGAGAUAAGCACUAUAAACCAUAUCUUUUAUAUCAUUCUAGAAAUGUUUUAUGUAUAUACAAGCAUUUUCAUAGACAUGUAUGUUUAAACAUAACUGUGAUUGUAGUUUACAUGGGAAUUUAGGCUUUGUUUUCUCUGUUUAAUAUAUUUUGGUUGUCUUUUUAUAUUGACUCUUACAGAAUCUACCUUAUUCUUUUAAAAAUUGCUAAUAUUUUAUUGCAAGGUUCCUGCAAUUAAUAUGCCAAAUCUCUAUUAUAGGCAUUUAGAUGGAUUUCAACUUAUCAAUUAUACUGCAAUACAUGUGCUUAUAUGUAAUCUUUAAGAAUUUGUAUAUACAGCCAUGUAGUGUGAGAAAUUUAAAAAAAAUAAAAACAAAGAAUUUGUAUGUAUAUAUUUGAGGAAAAAUUUUAUGAAAACAGAAAUGUCAGGGCAUGUACACUUAAAAAUUUGAAAGCUAUUAUCGAAUAACUCUGAAGGGGAAAUAUUAAUACAUUUCCAUGUCCCCUAAUUCCUACAGCUAAUUCAGUAUACACAGAACUAUUAAACAGCAAAAUCACAACAUUGAUUUGGAUAACUUUUACUCUCAAAGAUAUAUUCAAUUUUUAAUUAAAUUAAAUAACCAUGGAGCAAAGUGUUUUAGGGAUGAAGAAGAGAGAGUCUGUUUUAAAGAUCUUGGCCUUAAUGGUUUCUUUUCAUCAACAGUCAGAAAGACCUGUGGACAACAUUCUAAGGAAACAUUAAGAAGUUGUUUUAUUACAGGUAUUUUCUAGGAAGCUACUCAAAAGAAAGUGAACCUUGUAUUUGCAGGAAUCUGUGUUGUAGCCAAUAGAAAGGCAUGGCUAAAUCAAGAGAACCACCACUGGUGACAUUAGUUCUUACACUUUUAAUUUUUUGGACCCUUAUGUUUAACUUAGAGACAUAGAAACAGCUGUAAUUUGUAUAUCACCUCUAGUAAUAGUCCAGAAUGCAUUGUCACAGAGGCAACUAAUGUGAGAAGUAAAAGAGGAAUAAUGAAUGGCUAAUAAGUUUCACCAAUUAUCUUUAUCAGGAGGGAUUGACAGUUAACAUCAGAAUCACAUUAUUACGUGAUUCUAAGUUACCAGUAUUUUGAAAUUUAUUUAUGCCUAAGUUUUAGCUGUCUAUUAGAUGACAUAUCUUAUUUAUACGUAAUUGCAUGACCACCCUACAUAUAAUAGACCAUGAACACAUAUCAGUGUCUCUCUUAUUUUUCUAAAAUUAAUUAUGUUAAUUAUGGGUUGUACUUUUAAGUCAGAAAACUUUCUGCAUCUUUUUUAAGCCUAUAGAGAAAGGUCCCCUUUUUCCUAUUGUGUAGGGGAAAUACUCAAAUAAGAAGAUCCAGUGAGUACUGACUAUCAGCAUCCAAGCUGCUGCAAGAAGCUUGAUUUUCUUAUUUAAAAAAUGCCUGAACAAGAUGAAUAGUAGCAAGACCUGUCCUGUUUUGUCCAUCUCCUAACAUUGUAAAAGAACAAGCAUGUUUCUGCAAAAUCUGUUUGCCUGUAAUGUGUGUGUGUGUGUGUGUGUGUGUGUGUGUGUGUGUGAUGAUAAUAAUGAGAUUGUGGAUGGAGAGAGUGAUAUAAGUUCCCUUGCUUUGCAUCUUACUACCCAAAGUUUCUUUGCUUUUCCAAUCCUGAGCACUUGUGGUGGGAAGACAUGACUCUGACUGACUCAGCCAGCUGGGUUGAGUCUGUGUCUAUUGAUACUUGUCCUAUGUUUAUUUCCCUGUAGCUGAACCAUAUCCUUGUUCUCUCCUGUCUCAUUUUCAGGCAGAAUUCCUGGAAUGACUCAGCUCUGCAGCUCACUUAAUUCCCAUAAGUUAUCUCUAUUUGGCCCAUAACUAGCCUGUAUUUUCUUGAGUUUCUUUGGUGACUGUUUCUCAUUGUUGCUUCCUAUCCACCAUUAGGGCUACAGUUUUAAUCCAUGUUUUGCCCAUGUACUCCUGUUAAUUCUACUCCAGCUUCCCUGAAAAAUAGGACUUGAGCCCAAUUCCUUGCAGGCUUCACGGCCAGCAGAGCACAGUGGUGUAUCACCCUGCUGGAAGCUAUAGUUGAUGACUUUAUGGCUUGUGUAAUAAGGAGGUAGAAUCCUUAGCAUUUCUAGAGGGUAGGCAUAGGCCCAUAAACUUACAUUCCUUCAAAUUCCUUCCACUUAGAAACCUCUGUCUUCUCAAAAUGAUUAAUAAUAGAUUCCAGCUAUCAAAACAACUAUUUUCAAACAGUAGAUUAUUACACAACAAGCAGGAAGUUGUGACUCAAAUGUUUUAAUUUUAUAAACAGUUUAUGAUGUAUUAUGAGAGAGCAGAGAUAUUUUCAAAAGUAUUUUAUUGUAACUAUUUGCUUUACCGAACUUUCGGCAAAAGGCAGAAUAACAAAAAUCUUAAAAUGCUGGCAUCAGUGUAACCCAUUUGUUGUUUGUGUCUGGUUAAGAAUUUGUUUAAAGACAGCAUACAAAAUAUAAACGUGUCAGUUGUUUUCACCCUGAUACUAAACGUUUAUCAUGGUGUGCUGGAGCCAGGGACUCAGCAGCCACUGAGAUUUGAGCUAGGCUGCAAAUUUAGCUGGACACUGACCAACAGUAUAACAUUGAACAGCUCACUUGACUUCUCUGAGGCUCAUUUUAUCUCAUCUGUAAUAAUGAUAGUUAGAUAUCCUCUCUUUUAAAGACUUAAAUAGGGAAUGAUACAUGAAGGCACUUAGCACAAUGCUGAUCAGACGAAUUGUCUAAAAUGCAUUCAUUACUUUUCCAACCUUUUUUCAAAAAUAAAAAAACUAUUAAUUCAACUGGAAAACUAUACAAAAGUGAGCCUAUCAGAUGCUGUGAAAUUUCUGAUGUAUUUUUCUUCUUUGUUAUUUCUGCAAUAUGAUUCUUGACAGUAACAUGUGAUAAGAACACCAGAAUGACAUCAAAGAAAUUUAGGAACUUCAAGACCACCAAGUAUCAAAGAUGCUUUUAAAUAACAUAAUUUGAAUAAAUUGAAUGCAUUUGAAUAAGGUGUCUAACCAGAGAUUGAACUAAUCCUUAAUACAUUUAACAAGAAAUUAAAAAAAGAAUCAAUCAAAAAAUGAUCUCAUCUGGAAUUUUUAGUUACAUGGCAUUUGUCUGAUAGUCUCCAAUGUCUUUUCCCUUACUUUCCACUAAAACAUUUACGAAGGUAAUGGGAGAAAAUGUUACAAAGCAAUAUUAAACACUAAGGUCCAUAGACUACCUAGAGUCAGAUUUGGGGAGGAAUCUUUGUCAAAUAUAUGAAAGUUGAAGUGAUUAGAAAAAAAAAUUUACUUCAGUAAAUACAACGGGGGUACAGGCAUUGGCUAACUACCCCCAUUCCAAAAGGGAUAAAUUGGCCAAAACCAAGGGGCUACAGGCCCUGUGCAAGUUUGAAACCCAGCAAGGCAGUCAUUAAAUCUUAAAGUCCCAAAAUAAUCUCCUUUGACUCCAUGUGUCACAUCCAGGCAACACUGAUGCGAGGGGUGGGCUCUACCCAUUAUCCAGUUCCAAAGCUGCUUCCACAUUUUCAGGUAUCUUUACAGCAAUGCCCCACUUUCUGGUACCAGUUUUCUGUAUUAGUCCAUUCUCUCAUUGCUAUAAAGAACAACCAGAGACUGGGUAGUUUAUAAAGAAAAGGGGUUUAAUUGACUCAAUUCCACAGACUGUACAGGAAGCAUGUCUGGGGAGGCCUCAGGAAACUUAGAAUCAUGGAGGAGGGUGAAUGGGAAGUAGGCACGACUUACGUGGCUGGAGAAGGAGGAAGAGAGAGAAGAAAUUGCUACACACUUUUAAACAACCAGAUCUUGUGAGAACUCACUCACUAUAACAAGAAUAGUAAGGGAAAAUCCACCCUCAUGAUCCAAUCCCCUCCUACCAGGCCUCUCCUCCAACACUGGGGACUACAACUUAACAUGGGAUAUGGGCAGGGGCACAAAUCCAAAUCAUAUCAAGGAUAAGUAGCAGUCCCAAUGGUACAUAGCUGAACAAGGAAUAUUCUCGCAAAAAACUGAGAAUUUAUCCAAGAGCUUUUUAUAUUAACUUUCUCUCCAGCUGUAGAUUUGAGAAAUAGAUUUAAUCAUUAUCCAAGAAUGUAUGAAUUGAACCAGAGGCAAUCCACAUAACCUGUCUGUUGACAAAUACAAAUCUGAAAAGAUUUGGUUUGAAAAAACAGUAUCCAAAACCAUGGGGAAAGAGUAUUUCAAACACAACCUAACAUACAGUCUAUCAUAUGGGUUAGAAAAUGAGUGUACAUCCUUAAUAGAAUGCAAGAAGUCUUGGCCUUUUUGAAAUAGUAGCAGAAAAUUAUAAAGGGAAAACAUGACGCAUUAAAAGGACAUUACCAAGAGGUUAAAAAGAGAUAAAAAGAGAGAAGACUAAGUAAGGAUUUCUAAAAAAUAAGAAAAAUAGCAUAGAUAAAAUCCACUGCAGAGUUAAAGAAGCAGUAAAAGAUAUUGUAGAAAAUUAAAUCAGUGUAUAAACUUCCAAAGCUCUCACAGAACAUAUAUAGAGAGAACAAAGAUAAGAAAAUUGUGAUAGUGAAGAUAAAAGACAUGGUGUACAAAGAAUAUAGAGUCAGUAUACAGAGAGUACAUUUAGCUGCAAAAAAAUCUCAAAAAUAAAAACCAGUUGUACCAGUCUGUUUUUGCACUGCUAUAAUGAACUACCUGAGACUGGUUAAUUUAUAAAGGAAAAAAGUUUAAUUGAUUCACAGUUCCACAUGGCUGGCGAGGCCUCAGGAAAGUUACAAUCAUAGAUGAAGGGGAAGCAAGUCACAACUUACAUUGCAGCAGGAGAGAGAGAGCAAAACGGGGAAGCACUACACUUUUAAACCACCAGAUCUCAUGAGAAUUCCAUCACAAGACAACACUAGGAGGAUGGUGCUAAACUGUUAUAAACCAGCCCCAUGAUCCAAUCCCCUCCCGCCAGGUCCCUCCCUUGACAAAUGGGGAUUACAUUUUGAGAUGAGUUUGGAUGGGGACACAGAGCCAAACCAUAUCACCAGUAAAAUCAGAAUAAGCAAUUAAAAGAAGCAUAAAUAAAAAACAAUUUUCUGUGCUGAAAAAGGAUCUGGGUAUCUGUUCAAAGAGCUCACUACAUUCUAGAAAAAAAUCCAUUAAAAUAUAUACAUUUAGAUAUAUUAUUUUUUGAGGUGCAGUCAUAAGUUAAAAGUCCUCUUUUUAUCCAGCAUAGAAACAAUGACUAAAAGAACAAGCAACCAAAAUCUUACCCUCAGAACAGGAAUUAGAGUAUACUCAGACUGCUUGUACAGCCCUAAGUACCAGAAUAACAAGAAACAUCUAAUAAUAAAAAUAUUUAUCAUAUCAUUUAUUUGAAUGCCUGCUGCAUUUAACAUACUUACAUAUUUUAUCUCUUUAUUUCAAACAACAACCCUAUGAGGUAGGUAAUAUAUCCUCAUUUGUAGAAACUGAGAUUCAGACACAGAGCAUGACCAAAAUCUCAUAGCCAUAAAGUUAUAGAAAUAAAAUCUAAUGUAAGUUUACUUGAUUCCAAAACAUGUGCUUUUUAAAUUGUGGUAUGCAGCCCCUAUGAUACUUGAGAGGAAAUGUCUUUGAUCUAGAUUUUAGCACCCUGCUAAGUUGUUUUUAACAAGGGUAUUAGUCUGUUCUCACGCUGCUAAUAAAGAUAUACCUGAGACUGGGUAAUUUGUAAAGAAAAGAGGUUUCGUUUACUCAGAGUUCCACAUGGCUUGGGGGGUCUCAUAAUUAUGGUGGAGGGCAAGGAGGGGCAAAGUCAUGUCUUACAUGGUGGCAAGCAAAAGGAGAGCAUGUGCAGGGGAACUCCUCUUUAUAGAACCAUCAAAUCUCAUAAGACUUAUUCACUAUCAUGAGAACAGCAUGUGAAAGACUUGCCCCCAUGAUUCAAUUACCUCCCACUGUGUCCCUCCCAUAACACAUGGGAAUUAUGGGAGCUAUAAUUCAAGAUGAAAUUUGGGUGAGUACACAGCCAAACCAUAUCAACAACAAACAAGAGAAAAGCAUGGUCAGAUAAGCAAAGUCUCAGAAAAUAUGCUUUUUGAAAACAAAUAUGCUUUUUGAAGGCUGCUCAUAUGCUUUUUAAAACAAUUAGUACCAGACUGACUUUAGUUAUGCAAGAAAAUCAUACAAAUUAAGACAUAUAAAAGUCAAUUCUAUUGGAAAGGGAUUGGGGCUGAGUUUUGGAACCUUUUACGAAGUUACAGAAAAUAAUUAUAAUGAAUCAAAUUAGGGUUAUGGUGUCAGAGAUGAAAAUGAGAAAAUAGGUUUGCAAGAAUUAAUGAGGCAUUGACCACGGGUGGGGAGUGAUGAAAUAGAGACACUCUUGGACAACUUUUAGAUAUACAGACUUUAGUGAGUAGAUGAAUCUUAGUGAUGACUAGCAUACAGUAGGAAGAACAGAAUUUCAUUAAAAAAUCAUUAAUCUUUGAAUAUGCAGAGCUUGUUUCUUUUGUCAUAUACCUACAGGCAAGCAAUUAAACAGGACUAAUAUUCAUGAGAAAGGUUUUGGGUGGAGCUGCAGACUUGGAAAGGGAUAUUAAAGACUGAGAAGUGAGUGAGAUCACUUAAGGAGAGCAUGACAGAUGUGAAUAAGACAGGCAUUAGAGAAUGUGGCAUGCAGGAGUUAAGAAGUAGAAACAUGCAAUAACAAAUAGUCAAUGAAAGAAAGUUUUAAGAAGAAAGUAAUUAUAAACAAUGCCAAGGGCUAUGCAGAGAGGUCAGUAAAAUGAAGAUACAAAGCAUGCCCAAUGAAUAGAGCACUGGAAGAAGCAUUGGAAGAUACACAGCAUAUCCAUUGAAUUGACAGCUGUGGAAGAAGCACUUUGCAUAAAAUUGUGAUACUGAGAGUCUGACUAAUGAGUUGAGGUAGUAGGGAAGUGAAGAUAGUGAAUGAGAGAAGGAACAGUUGAAGGAACCGUUUGGUUUUGAAAGACUACAGAUAUCUGAGCAUAUUUACAGUCUGGAUGGAAGGAUCUCAAAGAGAAAGGGGAUGGAGGAGGGAGAGAGAUUGCAUCAUUGGUAGAGCUUGAAACAAAGCCCUGAAUGAGGUAUGAAAGAGCAGAGCUGGAAAAAUUGUCUUAGGAAAGGAGAAUGAAUACCUUGUACCUGAAUGAUGGCAAAUAUGAAUGCUUUUGUAAUGAGAAGUUGAGGCAUUUUUCUCUGACACCUCUGUUUUCUCUGAGAUGUUAGAGAUAAGGUCAUGUGUUAAAAUUGCAUGAAGUAGGGAAUAUGCAGAGGAUUUGAGGAGAGUUUCUUUUUAAAAUUAAUAUGCUAUUUUAUAAACAAAGUUAUAUGUGUAAUAUGUAUGUAAGUUAUGAUGUAGAAUAAGAAGGUGAACACCAGGAAUCCACCAUCCAGCGUAUGCUCUAGAAGACUAUAUGUUUAUUCCCCAUCUUAUCACCCAGCCUCUAUUACAGGCAAAAUAAAGGUUUGCGAUGCCAGUGGAAAGGAAUGGAAAAGAAAGAUAACCAAGCACAAUGGGAUAAUUGUCAAGCAACCCUGUGGGUCCACCUAUGACUUGCUACAGUAAAUUUGUAGUGGCACAGAUAUUCGUAUUCAUGGUUGUCAGAUUUUGUUAAGCUACAUUGAUAAUUCUAGUAAGAAGCCAGCUUGCAGGAUUGCAGGAGAAUAAGGAGGCUAGGAAGCUGAUGGUACAUUGAGAGAAUACUUCAAAUAAUUUUCCAUGGAUUUGCAUUCAAUAAAAAAAGAAAGUUUGGUGAGAAAUUGGUCAAGAAACUCUAGGAUAGUGGAGAUUUAAUAGACUAUUUCAGUUCAAUAAUAAAAUGAAAGGGUAGGUUUAGUGAAAAGGAGGAGGUAAGACAGGAGAAUGGUAGGAGUGUUUGGUUGAGGACAGGAUAUUGAAGACUAACAGUUUAUAGGUAGAAUAGUCCUGAAUGCUGACCAACAUCUCAGGUGUGGUCAUUUAUUUGUGUUCCUGAUAUAACAUGCAGGUACAGUUUAUUCAUUUUAAAGGCAAAUAAUUGUGAAAUUACAAUGUUGGAUGCAUUUUUCAUAUGCAUGCUGAAAUCAUCCAGUAUGAUUCCAAAAUUAUGUUUAAGAGACAGACUCUGAACCAAAUGUCCAAAUUCUCAAUGACUGGGAGUGUCCAAGAGACUCAAAUUGCUAUCACUUUUAGAAGUGCACCAUGCCCUCACUGGGUGUCAAGAGCUUUGGAGAAAGAGUUUAAAAUGAGUGUGACUCCUUUGGAAUUUUUAAUAGAGGUUAAGAGGGCUUUAUUCCAUUGCAUGGUUGAGGAAAGAUGGAGAGAAAAAAAAAUAGUCUUGUUUAAGAUUUACAGAGAAGUGAGUGUAGAAUAAUAGAAAGAUGAGAAUACCGGGGAGAGGUGAUCAAAAGAAACUGAUGCAGGACAGGCAAGCCCCCAAAUUGGGGCUUAGCCUGUGAGGGUUCUUUGCUUCACUCAGAAAAAAUUCAAGGAUGAACCGGUGGUGUUAAACAGCAAGUUUUUUUCAAAUGGCAGUGUACAGCAGCAACAGAAGCACUGCUUUUUGCAGAGCAGUGCUACCCCAUAGGCAGUGUGCCCAGAAUAGCACCUCAGAGGCAGUGCUGUACUUAUAUUUGUACCCACUUUUAAUUAUAUGCAAACUAACGGGAGGUUUAUGCAGAAAUUUAUAGGAUGAUGGAGGUAACUUCCAGGUCAUUGGGUCAUUGCUACGGAAAGGGGCGGUAAUUUCCAAGUGUUGCUGUGGCAAUGGUCACCUGACAUGGCACAGUGGUGGGCGUGUCUUAUGGAAAGCCACCUCCGCACUGACCUGUUUUAGCUAGUCCUUAAUUUUUGCCUGAUGUCUGAGCCCUGCCUCUGAAGAUUCCUGCCUCCUACCUCAAAACCAUACUUUGAAAAUGGUCUUCAUAUUUCAGGAGCAAGAGUCAUGGAUAUGGUUAACACAGUAAUUUGAUUGCAAAUUAGCUUUGGGGCCAGAACUGGAUGAGAAUCUGCAGUGAUACUGUUGUGACCUUCCUGCAGAAUUUGUCUCUGUUGUACUGGUUUGGAUGGUUAUCUUCCCAAUGGAAACUGAAAGAGGGGAAAAUUCUUAUUGCAUAGAUGAAAGUAGUCUUAAAUGUGUUCAUCCCAUAAUAUGGAUUAGAUGGUGGAUGAAGUGGUCAAGAAGUGAUAAUUUCCAGAAACAGACUAUAAUGACACUCAGGAAACCAGUGAUAUACAAAGUAACCAUGCUGGAGACAGCAUCUGAAAUAUCUGGAACCUCAGGCACGCUCUCCUUCUCCAUAACAUAUUUGUAAGAAAAAGGAGUCUAUUUAACCUCAUGGGAGAAAAUCUAAACUGGAUAAAUCUUUUCAAAAAAAUCUCACCAUGGCUUUUGUAUUGCUAAACCCAGGACUGAUUUUUAGGUGCAAAAAGAUCCUUGGGAUUUCCUGUCUCUGAGAUAGACUAGGAAUAGAGUCAGGUCAUACCCUUUCUACCUAUUGCUCACUUCCCCAGAAACCAGCCUGCAAAGCAGGAACAGCUUUCCAUCCUUUGUUGCUCUUUUCAAAAGAGCAUAGAAUCACUUCUUUCCUUGAAUAUAUAGAGCUUUGUAUAUAUAAAUGCAAGUAAUCAUUAUUAAAUAUUUGUGAAACAGAUAUAAAGAUUCAUCAGAUCACUGUACAUUCACAUUUUGAUGACCCAAGAAAGAAAGAAUCUGGUGAUAGAUCAGUGGAAUCUGCCAUGAGCAAGUAUCUGUGAUUGAAUGAAACGUCCUAAAUGAACACAUCUAUGUUCUGUGUCAUUGAACAAAAGAUUCAAAAUACUCUGCAAUGUUAAAAAAUAAUUAAACAAAAAUGAUUUUGUAAGAUUGCUUUUGAAGAGGCAUUUGUUUGGGUUUGUAGUUUUCUUGGCUAUUUAUUCAUUCAUUUCUGGUAAACAAUACUUUUAGAUUCACUUUAAUGAAGUCAGUUGCUACAAACUUCACAUUUCUCUCCUCUGAGAUAAUUUAAUCAACAAAUUAUUUUCCCUGUGUUAUAUAUUUCAGCCUGACAAAGAACAGAAAAGCAACACAUGUUAAUGUCAUAACAAGUGAGGCUCUGCAGCUGAGUAGAAUCUCAUUCCCUGGCUCUCAAGGUGGAAGAGAUAGGGUAGGGAGGCUACAGUUGAAUAUAAGAAAUGAAGUAAGUAAAAGCAUAGCUGAGAAAACACUACAGCUCUCUCAGAGAAGAGGUCUCUGGUUAUCAAGAAGAUGACUUAAAAAAAUGAAAAAUAAUCAAAAUGCUGUUAAAACUGCGGUAAAAACAAGGAUUGAAGAAAAGUGAUAAAGGAUAGAGGGUAAUUCAAAGAAUAUUGAGAGGAAUAUACUGAGUAUAAUGAUUUAAAAACAGAACCAUUACAAUUGUGUUCUAGUCAGUUUUUCAGCUCAUUUCUAAGACAUAGCUUAGAACAUUUUGGGAUAGAAGAGGGAGAUGGAAAUAUACAUGCAAAUAAUAGCACUAUACAGGAAAUACGUUCUUAGCAUCUGGACAUUUACACAUAUAAUUGAUUGGAGGGGAAUGAUUUGCAGAAACUUCAAGUUUCUGGGACAGUUCUCAUUUUUAAUAUUUUGUUUCACUGAUAAAUUGUUUAAUUGAUCAAUGUGUUAAGAUUUUUCAGAAAAAAAGAUUAUCAUAAUUGUGAUAGCUAUACAUUACUGCAAUGGAGGAAAAGGAAAAUGUUAGAGAACAACUGAAGAAACAAAGGCCAGAUUAUUUAAAGCUCACUCAGAUUUCUGUAACACAUAGCCAUUCACAAAAGACCACGAUAUCUUUGGAGAAAAAAGGGAGAGUUUUAUUUUCUAUUAAACUCAGACUGAAGACUGGGGAGAUGCGUCAUUCAGUGCACAAGGAGGUGGGGUUGGAGAGUCAGCGUUUAUAGAGGCAAAAACCGCAGGGCAGGGAGAGGAUUCUGAGGAACAGUCCUUAAGCCCCAAAUCACUAGUCUCUCUUACAUGGCUGGUUCCAGGUGGUCAGUACAAUAGUGCCAGGUGUUCUGUUGGAGUCAGCUGGGGAAUUUCCAGCUGCAGUUGUUUCCAGUAACUGUUCUUUGACUUGCUUGUAGAAAAACAGGUUUUGUAAUACUUUCUAAAGACAUAGAGAGUGUGACUGCUCCCUCACACUGCCUUGGUGUCUUGGGUCUGCUUUUACUCCCAGAUGAGUCAGGGAGUUCAUCUUGCCUGUUAACUGGGGGCAUUGUUUGACAUAGCAUAAUUCUAUUUUCCUUUUACCAUCAUCAUUUAAAAACGUUUUAAAAAGUUGUUAUGAAAAUUUUCUAAGGACUUGAAAUAUAUGUAGAUGGUUCAGUUGAGUAAAUGGCUACUUUUAACAAAAUUAGCUGGCUUUCAUUAAUUCACCGAGUGUUGUCAGUCACAACAGGAUAUUUGCAAUAAAAAUAUUGACAUAAUUGCUUAAACGAUUGACAUCACUAAAUAUGAUAACUCUAUACAUUUGAUGACAGAAGAACUGAUUGGAAAAGACUGAGUUGGUUUCAUUUUCUUUGUUCAGCAAGGCUAGCAUUUAAUGUGCAAAAUGAACACCUUUGCCAGGGGCCUAUUUUUCCUUGUGAAAGAAACUCACAGUGACAAUAUGUGUUGCAAAGCUCAUAAAAAUCAUCUAGCUGAUUUUUAUAAGACCAUAUUAAUCAAUAAUAGAAGAUCAGGGUGGAAUCUUUCCAUCAGAUUUUUCUAUAUUCUUUUGACAUAGAUUGAGUAUUGAGUAGUUAUUAAUAUUUUAUAUUAUGAAGUCCAUCAAUGUUUUGAUAAUAGUGAUGGAUCCUCUACUGAGGAAAAAUAAAUGUAUCUGUGAAACAUUUUUUACAUUUCUUUGAGCCCAUUCCUGGACUUCUUCGGGGUUCUUGAAUGACAGGUUAAGAAUUUUUAUUAUAGAGUAACAUCUGAAAUAUUACCUUUUUGUGCUUAUAAGUAAACUUCACUGUUAAUUGUCUCUUCCUACCCUCAUGAACUCCUCUUUCUUGAUCUUCUUAGCAACAGAUCUAUUAUUUUUGUUUAUUAAAUUUUAAAGCAGUCAAUAAAUGCGUUCAGGCAUGAGAGAUUCUAAUGUCUAAGAAUCCUCAAAUAAUAAGCACAUGGAUCUGAGCACUUCUUUAAGUGUCACUAAGUUAAACUUGUUUCAGAUUUGUUUCAGAUUCAUCUUUCAAAAAUACCAUGAGUAUUUAUGUUUUGUGGAAUCUAAUCCAUGGUUAACAUCUGGUAGCAUGACUUUUGAGGUCAAAAAAAUCCUGGAUAUAAAUCUAAAUUCUCAUGUACAAGACAAACAAGCACAAUUACUAUUUAUUUUAACAUGACUUUUAGCUUUUGGAAUAAGAGAGGUUAAAAAAAAACUGUUAAAAGAGUUUAGUUUAUUUGGUUUAAAAUAGCUUUAUUGAGGUAUAAUUGACAUACAAUCAACUCAUGUAUUUAAGUGUACAAUUUAAUAUUUUCUCAUAUGUAUAUACCCAAUGAAACCACAACCACAAUCACAAUAAUAAGCAUAUUUAUUGCCUCUGAAAGUGUUACCAUGCCCUUUUGUAAUAUAUCCCUCUACCUCCACCUGCAUCAUCACCAGGCAAUUGCAGAUUUGAUUUCUAUCAUUAUAGAUUCGUUGAUAUUUUGUAGAAUUUUUAGUAAAUGAAAUGAUAAUGUGCGCAUUUUAUUUUUUUGUCACUCUGCAAAAUUAUUUUAGAAUUCACCCACGAUUUCAUUUAUAUAAAUUGUUCAUCUGUUUUUUAUUAUUGUGUGGUAAUCCAUUGUCUGGCUACAUCAGAACAUAUUUAUCCACUCACCCGUUGAUGUGUAAUAAAGCACAGGCUCAGCGGCUCGCAGCUUGAAAAGCUAAUGACAAGGAUGAAGUUCCAUGAAAGGAAAGUGACUUUGUUUUCCAAAGCUAGCAGUGAGGAGGAAGCUGGAUUACACCUCUAGAAACUGCUUCAAAAGGUUAGACUGAGGGCAGGUGUUUAAAAAAAGAAGGCUUGAUAGGAGAGGCAUGCAGGAGAUUUGCAGGAUUCAGGGGCCAUGUGUCUUGUUCCAACACCUAUCUUAAGUUAUGGUCACCCUGGAGCAACGGGCUGAUACCAUCUCGACAGCAUCUGGAUUGUAGAUUAUACAUCUUGGGGCAAUCUUUAAGAGGGGGAGAGUUCCACAGCUGGGCCUUUAUGCUUGGUUCAUUUUAAAUUGGCCUCUGGAACUUAACAAGCAUAUAGCGAGAUAAGUGUGCAUGGUGUGAGUUUAACAAGCAUACAAUUAGAUGAAUGUGCAUAAGACAAGAGAGCAUAAGGUAGAAAGGGAAGGGAGUAGAAUUUUGAAGUACAUUUCAAGGCUAUAUUAAAGACUAAGGAAAAGGCUUCUGCAGGUUCCUUCAAGUUUACAUCUUGAGAUUGGGGAAAAAGGAGAAAAAUGAGAAAGGAAAAAUUAAAAAAAAUUUUUUUUGAAGCUAAAUUACUUGGUUACAAUUGGACAUAUGGGCUGUUUCCUAUUUGGACUAUUACAAAUAAGCUACUAUGAACAUUCAUUUACAAGUCUGUUUGUGUACAUAUGGUUUCAUUGAUCAUGAAGUAAAUACCUCAGAGUACAAUGUCUGGAUAAUAUAAUAAGUGUAUGGUUAACUUAAAAAAAAAAAACCUGCCAAACUGCUUUCCAAAGUGCCAGUACCAUUUUACAUUUCCAAUAUCAAUGUGUGUCCUGGUUGCUCCACAAGUUUAUUAACAUUUGGUAUGAUCAGUCUUUUCCAUUUCAUAUAUUCUAAUAGGUGUUUCAUAGUAUAUCAACAUUGUUUUAAUUUGUACUUUCCUAAUGAGUGGUGAUGAAUAUUUUUUCAUGUGUUUGUUAUGUUUGUCAUCUGUUUAUCUUUUUGGUGAGUUUCUUUUCAAGGCUUUCUCUAGUUUUGAUAAUGUAUUUGUUUAUUUUCAUCUUACUGAGUUUUGAGAGUUCUUUAUAUAUUCUGAAUAUAAACCGAUUUUCACAUAUGUGAUUAACAAAUAUUUUCUCCCAGUCUGUGCUUAUAUUUUCAUUCUUUAAUUAACAUUGUUUUUGAAGAGCAACAUUUUUAAUUUUGGGAAAGUCAAGUUUGUCAAUUUUUACUUUAAUGAGUCAUGUUUUUGCUAAUAUAUUUAUAAAAUUUUUACUUCACCAAAGGUCACAAAGAUUUUCCUCUAUGAUUACUUCCAAAAUGUUUAUAGUUUUAGAUUUUACUUUCAGUCUGUGAUCCAUUUUAAGUUACCUUUUGUAUAUGAUGAAGGUCAUGGAACAAAAUUUAUUUUUCAUAUUUAUUCCAGCACACUUGUUGAAAAUGCUCUCCUUUAUCUAUUACAUUGCUUUCGAAAUUUUGUGGAAAAUCAAUUGAUUGUAUGGAUGUGGGUCUAUUUAUGUACUCUAUUGUAUUCCUUUAAUCUACUUCUCUGUCUGGAUGCAAAUAACAUACUAUUUUGAUUACUGUAAUUUUAUUAUAAAUCUUGAAAUCAGGUAGUAUUAGUGUCUUAGCUUUACUUUCUUAUCAGAGUUGUUUUGGCUAUUCUAGGCGCUCUGCAUUUCCAGAUAAAUGUUAGAAUCAGUUUAUAAAGUUUUACCAAAAAAUCCUGCUGGUAUUUUAACUUGAACUGUUUUGAAUCUAUACUUUGUUUUUAGAAAAGUUAACAUCCUCAUAAUAGUGAGCCUUCCAAUUUGCGAACACUGUGUUUCUUCCCAUUUUUCCAGGUCUUCUUUAAUUCCUCUCAACAGUAUUUUGUAGUUUUUAGUAUGUAGUUCUUCCACAUCUUUUGUUAGUUUUAUUCCUGUGUACUUUAUAGUUUUGAUUCUAUUUUCCAAAAAUAUUAUUUCUUUUUUAUUUUAGUUUUCAAUUGUUUGUUGUUAGUAUAUAUAAAUACAAUUUUUUUAUGUUGUUCUUAUGUCCUCCAAACCUGCUAAACUCACUCAUAAUUGUGGCAGCAUUUUUGUAGGUUCCAUUAGAUUUUCUACACAGACAAUUAUGUUAAUUGCAAAGAGAGCUUAACUUAUCUCUUUCCAAUCUGGAUGCCUUUUAUUUCCAUUUCAUGUAAUAUUGCAAAAUGGCUAGAAACUCUGCUACAAUUUGAAUAUAAGUGAUAAAGGCAGACAUCUUCACCUUCUCCUGGUCUUAGGGGAAAAUCACCCAGUAUUUCAACAUAAAAAUGUUAUUAGUUUUAGGCUUUUCAUAGAUGCCUGUGGUAGACUGAAUAAUGCUCCUCCACUUCCCCACAAGUGUCCAUGUCCUAAUUCUUGGCACCUAUGACUAUGUUACCCUACAUAACAAAAGGGAAUUUACAGAUGUGACUAACUUAAGGAUUUUGAGUUGGGAAGAUUAUAAUGCAUUAUCAAGUUAGGCGUAAUAUAAUCAGAGGCCUUUUUAAGUAGGAAGGAGUAGUGGUGUAGUUAGAGAAUGAAAUGUGAUGAUGGAAGAAGUACUAAGAGAUCAUAAGCCAAGGAGUGAGGGAACCCUCUAAAGCCUGGGAAAGGUAAGAAAAUGGACUUUUCCCUGGAACCUCUAGAAGGAACACAGCCCUGCCCACCUCUUUUAAACUUUGGGCCUCCAGAACUGUGAAUUUGUGUUAUUCUAAGCCACUAAAUUUUUGGUAUGUUAUGGUAGCAGAAGAAAUGAAUACGAUGCCUUUUAUCAGGUUGAGGAAGUUCUCUUGUAUCUCUAGUUUGCUGACAGCUUUUAUAGAAAUUGCUAUGAGAUUUUGUCAAAUGCUUUGUCUGCAUCUAUUGAGAUAAUUAUAUAAUUUUCCUUUUUAUUUUUUUAAUAUGGUGAAGUAUGUUGAUUAAUGUCCAAUGUUAAGUCAAACAUGCAUUUAUAGGAUUGAUCCUGUUUGGUCAUGGGUUAUUUAGAGUUCUGUUGUUUAGUUCAUAAUAUCUUGAGAUUUUCUAAGUAACUUUCUGUAAUUAACUUCAAAUGUAAUACAAUUGUGGUCAGAGAACAUACUUUGACUUGAGUCAUUUUAAACUUGUUGAGACCUCCUUUAUGACUCAGAAUAGGAGUUAGCUUCCAUGUGCACUUAAAAAGAGUAUGUAUUACGCUCUUGUUGGCUGUAGUGUUCUGUAAAUUUCAAUGGGUAAUGUUAUUCAAGUCUUGAUAAUUGCUUGAUAAUGUUAUUCAAGUCUUCUACAUCAUUGGUAAUUAUCUCUCUACUUGUUUAAUUACUGAGAAUGAGGUGUUAAAAUUACAGAGAUUUCUUGUCUUACAGUCCUGGAGGCCAGAAGUCUUAAACUAAGAUGUCAGAAAUGCUACAUUCUCUUGUAAUGUGCUAGAGAAGAAACUGUUCCUUGCUAGCUUCUGGUAGCCUCAGGCACUCCUUGGUUUGCACAUGUAUCACUCUGUCCUCAUUUUCAGAUGACAUUCUCCCUGUAUCUUCACAUCAUCUUUCCUCUGUGUUUGUCUGUGCCUUCAUCCAAAUUUCCUUCUUUAAGAAGGCCACCCAUCAUUUUGGAUGAAGGUUUACCCAAAUGGCUUCAUUUUCACUUGAUUACCUCUCAAAGAACCUAUUUCCAAAUAAGAUCACAUUUUGAGGUACUGGGAGUUAGGACUUCAAUAUAUGGUAGUCCUCUCUUGUCCAUGGUUUUGCUUUCCAUGGUUUCAGCUAUCCACAGUCAACCAUGGUUCCAAAAUAGUACAUGGGAAAUUCCAGAAAUAAACAAUUCAUAAAUUUUAAAUUGUGCUCUGCUCUGAGUAGCAUGAUGAAAUGUCAUGCUGUCCAAAUCCGUCUGACCCAGGUAAUGAAUCAUCCACACCAUCUAAGCUACCCAAAUCACUUAGUAGCCUGCCUGGUUAUCAGAUUCACUGUCCUGGAUCACAGUGUUUGUGUUCAAGUAACCCCUUAUUUGACUUAAUAAUUGCUCCAAACUCAAGUAGUGAUGCUGGCAAUUUGCAUAUGCCAAAAAGAAGCUCUAAACUGCUUUAAGUGAAAAGGUAAAAGUUCUUGACUUAAGGAAAGAAAACAUUUUAUGCGGAAGUUGCUAAGGUCUAUGAAAAGAACCAAUCAUGUAUCCAUGAAAUUGUGAAGAGGAGAAAAGAAAUUUGUGAUAGUUUCUUUGCGGUUGCACUGCUAACUGCACAAGUUAUAGCCACAGUGCAUGAUAAGUGUUUAUAUAGGCCUUGGUACUAUCAGUGGCUUCAGGCAACUAUGGCAGGUCUUGGAGUGUAUCCCCUGAGGAUAACGGGAGCUGCUGUAUCUUUUUGGAAGGACACAGUUCAACUCAUAAGGUGUGUCAUGCUUUUUUUUUUUUUAAAUUCCAAUCUGACAAUUUACCUUUUAUUUAAUUAUGAUUUGACCAUUCACAAUGUGAUGAUUGAUAUGAUUGAGUUUAAAUCUAUAAUUUUGCUGUGUGUUUUCUACUUAUUCCAUGUGUUUUUCCCCCAAGUAUCUGCAUUCCUUUGAAUUAAUCUAGUAUCAACUAAUUAUUUUUAUCUUCUUUGUUGUCUGGUUAUUUACAACUCUUUGUUGUGUUAUUUAAUGAGUGCUCUAUGGCUCAUCUUUCAUUUAGUAUAGCUUACUUUUAACUAGUAAAAGCCUUAUAGUAUAUUUCCAUUUCCCUCCUCUGGGUCUUUGUGUUAUUGCUAUCAUAUGCUUUAAUCUUCAUUUAUUAGAAACCCCACACUAUGUUGUUACUAUUUUAGAUUUAAACAGUUGAUUAUCUUUUAAAGUAAUUUACAUAAUAAAAAGUAUCUUAUAUUUGUUUAUGUAUUUAUUCUGUAUUCCUUUCUGUAGAUCAAUAUUUUAUUUAU